UGUUCGAUCUGAUCUUCUCUUUUGAUGCAGGAGUUUUUGGUCGAAGGAUCUGAAAAUGUGCUUUGCUAGAGUUUCAAGGUAUGCCUUCGCAAAGUUUCCCUUGUUUUCUGCAUGGUCUCCGUCUUUAUUCCGUCUUCCUCCUUCGUAUGCCCUGCUCUCCGCUUCUGUUUCCGUUCCAAUUCGAUAAAUCCUCAUAAUAUUGAAGACGCUGUGUCUUCUUUCCAUGGCCUACUUCAUAGGCGCCCCCACCCUCUAUAGUCCAAAUCAAUCAGAUUUCCUACUGUUAUCUCCCUUUUCGCGCAAGCGGAAUCUAAGGGUUUCACGCCAUCUUUCGUUACACUGAGCAUCUUGAUUAACUGUUAUUGCCAUGUUCGUCGAAUGACCUUUGCUUUCUCUGUCUUAGGCAAGAUUUUUAAAAUCGGCUGUCAGCCAAAUACGAUUACUUUGAAUACACUAAUGAAGGGCCUUUGCAUCAACGAUGACGUUGAGAAGGCCUUAGAUUUUCUUGAUGAUCUGAUAGCAAGAGGAUUUCGGUUGGAUGGAAUUAGUUAUGGCACGUUAAUCAAUGAAUUAUGUGAGAAUCAGAAAACAAGAGCUGCGGUUAAAUUGCUCCAAAAGAUAGCGAGAGGACCAGAUAUCUCACAAUGUUGUGACCUACAACUCUGAUAUAUGGUAUGGCCAGAAGCUGCAAAAUUGUUUAAUGAAAUGAGGCUUAAAGGCAUCAACCCUGAUGUUCAUACUUUUAGUAUAUUGGUUGAUGCAUUUUGUAAGGAAGGAAGUGUCAACAACGCUAAAGCUAUUGUUGCUAUGAUGAUGAAGUAUCGUACAACGCCUAAAUGAGUACUAUAUGAUCAAUUAUGUUAGUGAGGCAAGAGAAUUUUGGCUCCUAAUAUUGUUAGUUGUAACAUUUUGAUUAAUUGGCUCUGUAAAAUCAAGAUGGUAGAUGAUGCCAUGGAUCUCUUUAAAGAAAUGAAGUGCAAAAGUUUGAUUACCAAUCUUGUUAGCUGUAACUCUCUUGUUGACAGUUUGUGCAAGGCAGGUAAAAUAUCAUAUGUGCAAGAUAUUGUUUAUGAGAUGCAUCAUGCUCCAGAUAUAAUAUUUUACAAUAUCUCGUUGGGUGAAUUGUGCAAAAGUCAUCAUCCUGAUGAGGCAAUUGCUUUAUUUAAGCGAAUGUUUGACCAAAGGAUUCAUCCUAAUACAUGCACAUAUACCAUAAUUUUGUAUGGUUUAUGCAAGGGUAAUAGAUUAAAUACCAUGUGGCAGAUUUUUCAGUAUCUUUUGGUUAAUGGCCAUCCUUUGAGUGUCCAUGCAUAUAAUGUAAUGAUUAAAGGACUUUGUAAAGAGGGUUUGUUUGAUGAAGUGAAGGAUUGCAUUAUAAAAUGAAAGAGAGUAGAUGCGCACCUACUUUUGUAACUUUUGAAACAAUCACUAGACCUCUUUUGGAAGAAGGUGAGAAUGACAAGGCAAAGAAUCUUUUGGAUGAAAUGCUUCACUAGAGGUCUCCUAAAGCGACAGAAGAAGUAUGAUUCAAGAGGAAAGGCUCUAUCGUGCUGGACAUGUCUUUUGGCUUUAGGAGUAUUUCAGUCAUGCAUAACAAAUGGCCAUAGAGAAAGUGUAGAAGUUGUUAUUCUUGCAGUCUUUUUGUUGAAUGCUUAGUAAAUUUCGGCUCCUUUGAUUACUCAAUAUUCAUAUUACGCUUUGCUGAAUCAUGUGGCGACUGUUACUAGAAGUUGGUGUCAUUUCUUUUGUUUUGGAUUUUGAUUUUGAUACCUGAAAAAUGAAAAUACCACUUACUAUUUAUUGUUCUAAUCAGCAAAGUCUGAAUCUUCGAUAGUAGUAUUGGUUUUUGGGAGUCUGUAGCAUUUAUUAGGUACCAAAUAAAAUUGUGAAAGAAUUUUUUUUCUUGUUAAUUUCUUGUUUAAGGAAUACUAUCAUGCGAAAAAUUUUCACUUUCCACUUACUAAUUCAUCGUUUGUGCAUGCUAUAAUGUUGAUAGUCUGCAAGGUAUCUUGAAGUCUUGAAAUUUUCUGUUUUUGUGAACUGGUGCUUUCAAAGCUCUGCAUUUUCCUUUUUCUUGUAUGACUCAUGGGGGUGAAAUGUGAAGUAAUUAUCUUCCUAUUUCUAAUCAAUAUGUGUAACUUACUCUUUGAUGCUCUCAUACAACUACACAAGGCUUACAAAACAAUUAAUGAGUGGCUGGCCACCUGACAUGAGUUAAACCUAAGGGUUUGGCUUGGGUUUUGGCUUUUUUCCUUCCAAAACCUAAAUGAUACUUGAACCACAGCUUUUAUAUUUUUAAAUUUAUUUUUUUCAUGGUUAGUAUUAGACCAUUAAUCUAUUAGUUUUUACCUUUUAAUUUUUGGUUUAACUAAAGCCCAACCCAAAAUGCUUCAGCAAUUCAAAAAUACACACUCAAUCCUUUUAAAUGCAUUUACUCGUGUUUAUUUAUUUAUAAUGAAAUCUGAAUCAUUUUAUUCUGGAUAUAAGAUUGUUCAUGGCCAUUCUUGAAUGGAAAUGUUGUGAAGGUGACCUGAAAGGGGAUGUUGUGAAUGCAUUUACUCUAGUGUUGUGACUUGAAACACACAUCAGACCUCUUUGUGAAAAAGGAGAGAAUGAUGGGGCAAAUAAUGUUGUUGACGAGAUAUUCACCGGAGGUCUCUUGAAAAGAUAAAAACAUCGGCCAUGAUUGCUGCCAACAUUACUGGGUUUAUAAAAGCAGUGGGAAUUAUAGCAUUGUGUGCCAGAGAUGAAGGAAAUGGUAAAAUGACUCUUGCAAGGCAUGUUUGUGUUGGGAGGA
Long non-coding RNA from Neltuma alba, 2797 nucleotides. RefSeq lists it as uncharacterized. The record is from RefSeq and is a predicted model, not a curated record. NCBI's taxonomy places the organism in Eukaryota, Viridiplantae, Streptophyta, Magnoliopsida, Fabales, Fabaceae. The transcript is spliced from 6 exons.